This 37-nucleotide ribosomal RNA is filed under the name Lupinus atlanticus. RNAcentral describes it as "partial 18S ribosomal RNA". The record is from RNAcentral. Lineage: Eukaryota; Viridiplantae; Streptophyta; Magnoliopsida; Fabales; Fabaceae. RNAcentral also lists the same sequence under 1 other name.
GAUGCUACCUGGUUGAUCCUGCCAAUAAUCAUAUGCU